Molecule: ribosomal RNA, 222 nt
Filed under: uncultured Glomeromycotina
Lineage: Eukaryota; Fungi; Glomeromycota
Description: partial 18S ribosomal RNA
Rfam family: Eukaryotic small subunit ribosomal RNA (bases 39-222)
Source: RNAcentral
GGAUCAAUACGUCGGUCUUGCUUCGGUACGUGCUGGCGUCAUUGAUUUCUUCCUUCUGACGAACCAUGAUGUCAUUAAUUUGGUGUUAUGGGAAAUCAGGACUGUUACUUUGAAAAAUUAGAGUGUUUAAAGCAGGCUCACGCUUGAAUACAUUAGCAUGGAAUAAUGAAAUAGGACGUUCGAUCCUAUUUUGUUGGUUUCUAGGAUCGACGUAAUGAUUAA